AGCAGCCGCGGUAAUUCCAGCUCCAAUAGCGUAUAUUAAAGUUGCUGCAGUUAAAAAGCUCGUAGUUGAAUUUCGGGAUCAAUAUGUUGGUCGUGCCUUGGUACGUACUAGCUCAUUGGUUUCUCCCUUCUGACGAACCAUGAUGUCAUUAAUUUGAUGUCAUGGGGAAUCAGGACUGUUACUUUGAAAAAUUAGAGUGUUUAAAGCAGGCUCGCGCUUGAAUACAUUAGCAUGGAAUAAUGAAAUAGGACAUUUGAUUCUAUUUUGUUGGUUUCUAGGAUCGAUGUAAUGAUUAAUAGGGAUAGUUGGGGCAGUUAGUAUUCAAUUGUCAGAGGUGAAAUUCUUGG
Molecule: ribosomal RNA, 347 nt
Filed under: uncultured Glomus
Lineage: Eukaryota; Fungi; Glomeromycota; Glomeromycetes; Glomerales; Glomeraceae
Description: SSU rRNA
Rfam family: Eukaryotic small subunit ribosomal RNA
Source: RNAcentral